Homo sapiens (human) is the source of this 1011-nucleotide long non-coding RNA. Ensembl annotates it as TDRKH antisense RNA 1. Its record names the gene TDRKH-AS1. The record is from Ensembl. NCBI's taxonomy places the organism in Eukaryota, Metazoa, Chordata, Mammalia, Primates, Hominidae.
UCUUCUAACCCUUGGAGGAAAAUCUGCGCUCCAGCAGCUGGGACCGAGGCAUGAGAGCGUUGAAUCAUGAGUGGCACCGUUCGCAAAAAUUGGUGUCUUUGUACAAAGACAGUGCCACAACACAACUCAGUGACCAUCGGGAGAGCAGCCUCAUGAUGGGCGAUGCUCCAUCAGUUUUCUCUUGCGAUCUUUUGCAUAGAUCGGUCCCGCCCCGCAUAUGGCGAUGAGGACUCAAGAGACACGGAAAACGUUUUCUUUCUGGAAAACAUGAAAUAGGCUUUGUAGAUGGACAGGAAGUCAAGGGACAAGCGGUGCGCCGCAGAGAGCGAGGACCCACUCUUCUAUUCCUUUGCGGAGGCACGGACACACGGUGUGGCCCGAAACAGCGGCAGGAGAGUGAGACCCGGGCUCCGACCGCGGUGACGGAGUCUCACUCUGUCACCCAGGCUGGAGUGCAGUGGCACGAUCUCGGCUCACUGGAACCUCCAACUCCCUGGUUCAAGCGAUUCUCCUGCCUCAGCCUCCCGAAUAGCUGGGACUACAGGUGCCCACCACCACACCUGGCUAAUUUUUUGUAUUUUUAGUAGAGACGGGGUUUCACCGUGUUAGCCAGGAUGGUCUCGGUCUCCUGACCUGGUGAUCCGCCCGCCUCGGCCUCCCAAAGUGCUGGGAUUACAGGCAUGAGCCACUGCGCCCGGCCUAAAAAUUUUUUAAAUUGUAUACAUUAUGGUUUUUUUUUUUACCACAAUUUAAAAAAUUAAUUUAUAAUAUACAUGCAGAAAAAUGCACAAAUGACAAGUAUAUAUCUUGAUGAAUUUUCACAAAUGGAAUACAUUUGUGUAACCAGCAGCAGAUCAAGAAACAGAACAUUGCUAGUGCCCCAGAAGCCACUUGUGUGUUCCCUCUCAGUCACUGCUCUUCUCAAGGACAACCACUCUUCUGACUCCUGAUACCAUAAACUAAUUUUGCCUGUUCUUGCUUUUUAUAUAAAGAGAAUCACAGAGUAUGUAC